Molecule: ribosomal RNA, 253 nt
Filed under: uncultured bacterium
Lineage: Bacteria
Description: partial 16S ribosomal RNA
Rfam family: Bacterial small subunit ribosomal RNA
Source: RNAcentral
CACGGAGGCCCCGAGCGUUGUUCGGAUUUACUGGGCGUAAAGCGUAUGUAGGCGGUUAGGUAAGUCAGAUGUGAAAUCUCUGGGCUCAACCCGGAAACUGCAUCCGAUACUGCCUGACUAGAGGACUGGAGAGGAAACUGGAAUUUACGGUGUAGCAGUGAAAUGCGUGGAUAUCGUAAGGAAGACCAAUGGCGAAGGCAGGUUUCUGGACAGUUCCUGACGCUGAGAUACGAAGGCCAGGGUAGCGAAAAGG